AUUGAACGCUGGCGGCAGGCCUAACACAUGCAAGUCGAGCGGUAGAGAGGUGCUUGCAUCUCUUGAGAGCGGCGGACGGGUGAGUAAUGCCUAGGAAUCUGCCUAGUGGUGGGGGAUAAACGUUCGGAAACGGACGCUAAUACCGCAUACGUCCUACGGGAGAAAGCGGGGGAUCUUCGGGACCUCGCGCCAUUAGAUGAGCCUAGGUCAGAUUAGCUAGUUGGUGAGGUAAUGGCUCACCAAGGCGACGAUCCGUAACUGGUCUGAGAGGAUGAUCAGUCACACUGGAACUGAGACACGGUCCAGACUCCUACGGGAGCAGCAGUGGGGAAUUUUGGACAAUGGGGGCAACCCUGAUCCAGCAAUGCCGCGUGAGUGAAGAA
RNAcentral lists this ribosomal RNA (383 nucleotides) under uncultured bacterium. RNAcentral describes it as "bacterial SSU rRNA". It matches the Rfam family "Bacterial small subunit ribosomal RNA", at positions 30 to 412 of the family's 1533-position model. The record is from RNAcentral.